Anguilla rostrata (American eel) is the source of this 11321-nucleotide long non-coding RNA. RefSeq lists it as uncharacterized. The transcript has 2 exons. NCBI's taxonomy places the organism in Eukaryota, Metazoa, Chordata, Actinopteri, Anguilliformes, Anguillidae. The record is from RefSeq and is a predicted model, not a curated record.
UUGUGACUAUUUGUUCUUGUGAGAAAAAAUUAUAGACUUUGUAUUCUGACCGCAUUGACUUGCAUGGAAACCGGAUAUGGAAACACCUAUACUGGAGCCAACCGCAGUGGCGCUAGUGAGCAACGUCUCUCAACAAGACCAGGAAGUACGCUUCAAAAACGAAGUCUGGUUUUGGCUGGUUUUUGAGUCAGAGAUAUAAGGCAUUUUCUCUAAGGACGCACUGAUUGAUUGACCACUGAUCGUUAUCAGCUGAUAAUACUGCUAAUGUUUUUGCUAGUUCGAAAAGAACCAAUUGUCAGUUUCGAUUAUGUCCUGUCAAUCAAAAAAUUGUAUAUUUGUAACAGUGUAAAUAUUAAUCUUGUAGUAUUAUAGUUAAAUUCAUUUUUAAUUUGGGCACACCAACCAUUUUUUUGGUAGGCCUUUUAUUUUAUAAACGGUGCAUCUAGUUUUGUCGAUGGUAGGCUUUUAUUUUAUGGUAUAUUCCGGUGCACUGUGGGUAACCUACAGCAGUGUAGGAUUGCCAUGCAGCGGAGUGAGCAAGCUGUGCUGAACCACUUAUUCACCUUCCUGAACAGACUGAUUGUGUGUGUCCCAUUACAGGUAUGAUCAUGUGUUUGUUAUAUUAACCAUUUGGCUCACGUUCACCAUUUUAAUAAGUAGGCCUAAAGGCUGUUCAUUCGCGUUUGUCGACUGGAAUAUGCCUGCUUCUGUAACAUUCCCGAGGGUGGCAGCAGAGGACCAUUUGUAAAUUAAUUAUUCCCUUGUUAAAAAAACGUAUGGGCAUUCAGAGCAUAGGAUUAAAUGACAGUCAUUUUAAUAUAUUUUAUUUUAUUUCAUUUGUAAGUUUAUUUUAUUUAGAUUAUAUUACUAUACGAUCACAAUGUAAAGACUACAAUGUUAAGUUUUUCAAGCCAACAGGGUAACCUACAGCAGUGUAGGAUUGCCAUGCAGCGGAGUGAGCAAGCUGCAAACUUAUUUACCUUCCUGAACAGACUGGUUGUGUGUGUCCCAUUACAGAAUAAAAUACUUGAAUGUUCCAUCCACCUUGACUCCUGUGCCGUGUAUGAAGCAGUAAGCAGAACGAGGGAACAGAGUGGUCGCAUAUUGUUUAUUUGUAAUUCAAGAGGUGGUUUUCAUUUGCCUCUCAGACUCAAAAUAAUUACACUUCGUCUUCCAUGUUAAGUGUUUCCCCUGUAAUUAGACAGAGCUAGUUGGCUGCCAGGGAAAACAUGCUUUUUUUGGAAAUAAAUUGGGAUGGCAGGUAUGUCAUUCCGCCAAGUUAUGCUUUGGUGGGGCGGCAUGCCCCAUAUACCUAUACAGCACCGAGAGUUUGGCACUUUUCAGGGUUUCCUACAGAAAUAACCACAACAAGACUCUCAGCCCUUAAAAACAUUAUGGUUAAAAGGCAUAAAUGAAGCAGGACAUUUGUACAAUUUACAAUACCAAGUUCGAUUAGUUUAUAUUCAUAUAUAAAUAAAGGGGCACAAAUGCAAUUGUCUGCUCUUUUUUUUAGUUUGCAAUGAAAUAAUGAGAGAUCCCAUAUAUAAACCAGGUUAAACUAUACAUAUCCUGGAUCAAAAACUCCUUGACCACAAGUACGUAAAAUCUAAGUGUGGAUAUGCAGAACUACUAAAGAUUUAUGAAGCAAAAAGUAAGCAGUGUACCCAGUGUCUCCAAAUCUAUCCAAAAUGUCUUAAUUAUGCAUUGCUGUAAAUCAGAACACAAUCAUGUAUUAUUUCACUGCAAAUCAACUGUUCUGACUCAAGAAACUCACCAUUGCAUCAUUCUCAAGUGGGAUUUCUGGCUUUCUGUCAGUCAGAGGUCUAAAAUAUAAGGGACCAAAUGCAUAUCCAAAAUCUCCAAAAAUGAAUAAAAUGCUUUUUGUCCAUUAUAAAGCAUAUAAAUGUGGCCCUUAUGAAGGUAUAAGAUGAAACAUUGAUAUCAGAUUUAAAAAUAAUGCAAGAACAUUAUCACACAAUGUGGUACAGUACCUAAAUGUGUAAUCAUUGACGCGUAUGCUCUUCUGUACUCUACAGUAUUGUUUGUAAUGUUUACUUGUAUGGGGAUGGGAUGACAUUAAAACAAUAUUUAACUGUCCACCACAUUUUGGCAAUGUUCCAACUCAUGUCACAUCCAAUGCAAUGUCUUCUGAGGUCCACUUUGUGUGUUUUUUUAGGUUUAUACAGAAUUUUGAUAUGCUUAGCUGUAGCUAGUACUACUCUUUGCUCUCUUCCUCAACUCACUUGCUGACCUUACAAGGUAGACACUUGACAUUAGACAAUAGCAUACACAGACAUAUUUCCCAGCAACCUUUGCACAUCAGAAAAUAGUAGUACCAAAGAAAUUACCACAAAUUAUUUAAUUGAAUAGUUUAAACAAUAUGUUUUCUGCAGAAUGAGCAUAUAGGCUAAGUUUGACAUAAUCACAAACUAUUGUACAAAGAACGUGUACUAACCAUGACAGAGAUAAGUUUGCUUAUUGAAUCAUAUAUAAAACAGGCGACACCAGAUAGACUUGUAUUUUGUGAUGUUCAACAAGAAACUCAAACGUAAUGAAGAGCUUGUGCAUGAAAGUCAUUUUUUCGUGGAACUUAAUGCUAGUUAUGAAAGUGUUUGUUGUUUUUAAAUGUGCAUGUUUUUAAUGGGGUGUUGUAGACAUGUCAGACGUAAUUGUUUGUAUGUCGGUAGAAAAUAGGGCUAGCUAACAUGAAUUUAAAGAUGUGGCGUUUAAGCAGUUAAACAGCAGAAACACCACAGCGUAAGACCAAUAUCAAUAUCUGUCGUCAUGAAAUGCAUAUGGCGCCCUGUUCAUGACGUUUGGUAGACAUAUGCAUUGGACAUUCUGAUAUAAUUUGAAUGUCGAUAAGGGAAUGAAGUUAUAAACACCUAGUUAAAUGGGCAUGAAUGGCUUUGCAAUAAGAAGACGUUCUUUAAUGCAUCAUUUGCUCGUGCUUUUAAAGAAGGCAGCACAGUAAGUACAAUUUAGCUCUGGUUUUAUUCACGUUGCAACUAAAUGUAGCUGGUUAACCAAAUAACUAGAUGGUAAGGCAUGAUACAGUGUAUACGUACAGUUGCAAAAGCAAGUUUAAAAGUAAUAAAGAAUUAUUAGUUAGCAAAUAAACAUGCAUAACGAAUGAAAGCUUUAUCUGAGCCUCAGAUGGGACUCAAACAUCUGCUUCAACAGUCCAAAGGCAGGGACAUUACCAGUGAGCCACCAAUGAACUAGUAGCAACAGCCGUGAAUUAUCAUGGUGAAGAAUGCAUAUGUCAAUUUUGCGUGUGUAUGUGAUGUUUUGAUUGGCUGGUGUAGGUAAAUGUUCAAUGGGGAGACAUAAUGUUCGUGGGCUCGGAGCAUUUGUGAUGAUGUAAUCAGGCAGGAAAAAGAAGAAGAAGAUGGAGGAGUAAACGUGAAUCCCCUAAGUUCGGGCCUUAUUGUGUGGACGUGUGAAGUUGUUUGUGAUUUCUGUCUGUACAUGAGGUCAGAAGGUACAUUAAUUAAUGUUUUUAAGGGCUGAGUGUCUGUGGUCAUUGUAGUUAUAUUUGCAAGAAACCCUGAAAACUGCCAAACUCUUGGUGCUGUAUAGGUAUGAGGCAUGCUGCCCCGCCAAUGCGUAACCUGACAUCCCAAUUUAUUUCCAAAUGAAUAGAUAUUUGCAGUUACCUGUAUUUUCGGCAUCUUAAAAAAGCAUGUUGUUGACUGGCGGCCAACCAGCUCUGCCUAAUUAUAGGGGAAACGCUCAAUAUGGAAGAUAUCAUUAUUUCUUGAUUGACAGGACAUAAUCAAAGCUUUCUUUAAUAUAUCUAUACAUUUUUUUCUAAAGUCAAGUCAGUUUAUUUAUAAAGCAUAUUUAAAAACAACAGAAGUGCUGUACAAAGAUAAAAAGAUACAUAAAUUACAUAAAAUAAAAGGUAUAAAAUACAAUACACAAAGACUACACAUGCCAGACAUUAAGAUUCAUAUGCCAAUGUAAAAAGGUAUGUCUUAAUGCGGGAUUUAAAAGAGUCAAUGGAGGGGGAAGACCUAAUAAAAAAUGGCAGACUAUUCCAAAGCCUUGGGGCAGCAUUGGAGAAGGCACGAUCGCCCUUGGUUUUUAACCAGGACCGAGGAACAGACAGGGGCAGUUGGUCAGAGGAUCUAAGAGGCCUGGAGGUGGAAUAGGGGCAAAGGAGGUCAGAAAUAUAAUGUGGUGCCAAACCAUGUAGUGCUUUAAAAACAAAUAAUAAAGCCUUAAAAUCGAUUCUGUAUUUGACAGGCAGCCAGUGAAGAGAAGUCAGAAGCCAGAACCUCUUCCUGGUGCCAGUCAGGAGCCUAGCAGCUGCAUUUUGCACUAACUGCAGCCGAGAUAGGGAUGACUGAUUGACUCCCAUGUAAAGGGAAUUACAGUAAUCGAUACGUGAGGAAAUGAAAGCAUAUAGGACAAUCUCCAGAUCCUUAAAUGAGAGGAAGGAUUUUAACUUUGCAAUGGCUCUAAGCUGGAAGAAGCUACCAUGCACAACAGAGUUGAUUUGUUUGUCAAACCUUAGGGCCAAAUCAAAGAUAACACCAAGAUUUUAGCAUGUGUAUGUACAUUUGAGGACAAGGGUCCUAGGUUGGUGACUAAACCUCUGGUGGAGUCAGGUGGACCAAACAUAAUAACCUCUGUCUUAUUCUCAUUAAGUUGAAGAAAGUUUUUCGCCAUCCAACUUUUACCGUCCUCAAGGCAAUCAAGGACAGAUUUUAUUGAAAGAUCAUCACCAGGUUUCAGCGGAAGGUGUAACUGUGUAUCAUCAGCGUAACAAUGGUAGGAAAUACUAUGCUUACAAAAAAUAGAACCAAGGGGGAGCAUAUACAAAGAAAAUAAAAUAGGACCUAAAAUAGAACCUUGAGGUACUCCACAAGUGAUAGGUGCCGUGGAGGAAGAAGAGUUCCCUAUUUUAACAGAAAAUGUUCUAUGAUUUAAGUAGGACACAAACCACAGUACCCUGAAUACCAACCUCAUGCUUAAGGCAGUCCAAGAGUACAGAGUGAUCAACUGUGUUGAACACAGCACUAACAUCCAUCAGAAUUAAAAUAGUACAGCUGCCUGAAUCAAUGGACAGGAGUAGAUCAUUAGACACCUUAAGGAGAGCCGACUCAGUGCUAUGGUGUGGCCUAAAUCCUGACUGAAAUUUUUCUAAAAUGUAAUUUUCAUUUAAAUGGGAAGAAAGCUGGGAAAAAACAACCUUUUCCAGAACCUUUGAUAAAGAUGGCAGUUUAGAGAUGGGUCACAAAUUGCUAAAAACUGGUGGGUCUAGGUUGGGCUUUUUAAUAAGAGGGUAGACCACUGCAUGUUUAAAGCAGGAUGGAACAAAGCCAUUUACUAGGCAGCUAUUUAUUAUUGACAGAAUACUGGGGCCAGUAGUGUCCAACACUUCUCUAAGGAGACGUGGGGGAAUAAUAGCUGAGGAGGUAAGACCGAUUGUCUGGCAGUUGGAGGCUUGCCGGUUCAAACCCCGCCCUGGGCAUGUCGAAGUGUCCUUGAGCAAGACACCUAACCCCUAACUGGUCUGGCGAAUGAGAGAUUUGGAUAAAAGCGCUAUAUAAAUGCAGCCCAUUUACCAUUUACCAUAAUGUCCAGGGGCAGGUAGUAGGCUUCAUGUGUGAGACUAUAUCAAGCAGAUGAGAAAGAGAGACCGGUUCAAACUUGUUAAGAAAAACAGGAGAAAUUAUCAAAUCAGACGGAUCAUAAGUGGGAGGUAAGAUCUGAGAUCUUAUACUGUCAAUCUUAUCAGCAAAGAAGUUCAAAAAGUCUUCACACGCCUGAGGAGUUGGAUCAGGACAGGCAGUGACAACAGGGCUAAUAGCUGUGUUCAUUGUGCCAAAAAGAACUCUGGGAUUAUGUGAGUUUUUAGAAAUAAUAUUAGAAAAAUAUAUGGCCCUUUCUGUUUUGACAGAGUGCUGGUAUUUAGCUAAGAAGUCUCUUAGAAUUUCAUAGGACACUUGUAGCUUGUCUUUUUUCCAUUUACGCUCAGAUUUCCUGCACUCCUCUCUAUGGGCAUGAGUGGCAUAAUUUAGCCAGGGCUGAGCUCAAACUUUAGGUCUCCUAGUUUUUAGAGGGGCAACAGAGUUUAAAAUAUCAGCACAGGUGGAAUUGAACAUAGUGACCAUCUCUUCUCUGCCCAGGCAGGGUGGGGAGGCCUCAAUAGUGCUGGUUUGGGGAGCAGCUAGGUAGGCGUCAGAGAACUGCCUGGCAGUGGAAGGGGUAAUGGAACAAGAACAAUUUACAGGCAAGAGAGAUUUAUGAGUUGGACAUGGGAAUGUGGCAUCAAACACGAUAGGCCUGUGAUCAGACAGACAAACAUCAUCUACAACAAGAUUGGAGACAGGAAAGCCAAGUGUUAAAACAAGGUCGAGAGUAUGACUAUGCUGAUGUGUGGGGCCCAUAACUGACUGCACCAAAUUAAACAAGUUUAAUUUAAAACUCGAUUUAAAAACUCACCAACCAAAGGCUUAGAUGGGCAACAAAUAUGGAUGUUAAAAUCACCAAGAAUCAAAAUAUUAUCGGACUUGGGCAUAAUAAAAGAUAAGAAGUCUGAAAAUUCUCUAACAAAGUCCUUAUUGGACUUAGGAAGCCGAUACACAAGAGCACAGAGCACAGGGUUAGAAAUUUCCAUCUUACACAGUUGUACUUUGAAGCUAGGAUAUUUUUCAACAGGCAAUAAACAGCAUUUAAAACGAUCACUGUUAAAAACUGCUGCCAGGCCCCCACCCCUACCAGUGAGCUAGGGGGAGUUAAGAUAACUGCAGUUGGGAGGGCAUAGCUCAAUAAGAGGGCUAUUUAGCCCUGGGCUUAGCCAAGUUUCAGUUAAAAAUAAAAAGUCUAAAUUCCGGCUUGAAAUAAAAUCAUUUAAAAUAAACGACUUAUUAGAAACUGACCUGACAUUUAAAAGAGCCAUCUUAGUGUGGUGUACAGUCUGAGGGUUUUCUAAACAUUUAACAAGAUUAGUAUGACUGUGUGUCUUAUUUAAGAACGACCUUGCAUUAACAAGUGUAGAUUGAGGAGGCUGUAAAAACAGUUAUCGUUUGCAGGGAAUAUGGAUCAGGUAGCAGGAGUUGCCACGGGAGGGGGGAUGAUUUAUGGGGUUACGGACCAUGAUAACCGUAGUGAUGGGAUACAUUUUUUGACAUCCUAGCCCCUUGGGGGAGCUGGCUAGAACAGGAGAGGAUACGGGGCCAGGAACAGACGUGUGCGAUAUAAAUAGCCAGUCACGUGGGGCGGACAGCACACCAUGCAAGAGAUUAGCUCCUAGUAAGCUGCUGCCUAGCCUGUUCGGGUGCAAACCAUCUCUUGUAAACAGAGAAGAGCGGCCCCAGAAUAAGUUAAAAUUGUCAAUAUAGCAAAUGUUGUGGGCACCACAUGCAGGCUGGAGCCAGGUAUGGAGGCUGAGGAUCCUACUAAAACGGCAGAUUCCACGUCCUAACGUGGGAAUUGGACCGGAGAUAAAAACAGCUUUCCUACAACUAUUUAGGAAAUUAAAAAGACGGAUAAAAUCAGCUUUCGUCAACUCAGACUGCUGGAGGGACAUAUCAUUCGUGCUGACAUGUACAAUAACUUUUUUAAUGGAUGGGAGACUAUCCAAUAAGCCGGGAAGCUUCUCGAGUAGGUCGAGAGCAGUAGCUAGGAAAGGAGUGUGUGAUCGCAUUUGCGUACCUGAUGUCCCGGACUAUGGAAUCUCCUAUGAAUAGGGUAGUAGGGAGGAUAAGAGGAGGGGGGGGUAGAUGUCCGUGGGGUAGCAGUCAGUGGUGGGGGCCACACACCAGUUGACCCAGCAGGAGGCAUGCACGCAUUCGUAGAACGGACAGCACGAGAAACCGACCGGUGGUAAAGUUGGCAAUCCUGUGUACCCCGGCUUCCAGCGGUGGCCAGUGGGAAGGGUUAGCUGUCUCGACACGGCUACAGGCGGAGUGGGAGGCAGGACGAAGUCAGCCUGAGAUGGAGGAGGCAGUGAAGACGGUGAAGGAGAUGAAGGGGAGCAGGGUCCAACCAGCGGGGGAAAUCCUGCGCCUCCAGAAUGCUGAAUCUGUUUGACAGCUGCAGACCAGGAGGAGCUGGAACUGGAGGAGAAUUAGAGCUAGGAUUCCUUCCAUGAUUUCCCCUGCGGACCACAGACCAAGAACCCGUUUGAUAUGGGGUGGAGUUGACCGGGGCUUUGGCCUGGCCCCCAGCUUAAUCCAUGGGACGUCAGCCUGGGUUGAAACGACCGGAACAGUGGAAUCCAGUUCUCCGCCAUGCAAGGUCGUAGCAGGACCUGGUGCGACCAGGGAAUCAAGGAGUCUUGUCUUAUCUGGUGGAGUAGGGAGAUUCUCCCCUCCAUCUCGGCAAUCUUCUGACUCAGGCGAAGGCAGCUGUUGCAUCCGAAGGGGGAGGUGAGUGUUGGCAUGUUGAGGAUACGCGGGGGCUCCACAACGGGAGCCCAACUUAUUAGUAGACGUAGACGAUACACGACAACUAUGCCGAAUACUGAGUUUCGCAGCGCCACCAUUGUCGUUCUGGUCGUUCAUUUACCAAGCACCCCCUCCCUGCAGUCUCAUCUGCAAGUACACCCGCCACCCAUGACAUAAUGGACAAUAUUGUCUAUCUGAGCAUUCAUAAAAAUAUUCUUUCACCACUCAAAAAUCGUAUUCCAUCAUAGCAACAAGAUAAAUCCGACAAUAGAUAAGAUACAGCAGUGAUAUGCCAAUACAGCAGUGAAAACGUUGUUCACUGAAUUACGAAAUAAACAAGACAAUGUUUUCAAAAAUGAUACCAUGUCAUUCUACGGUCAAUAUCUGGGACUAAAUAUUGAAUAAAUAUACAACCUUACCAUUGGUUUUACGCGUAGAGAUGUCCCUUUUGAGACUGAGUGGUCAUGUCUUGGAAAAUUUGUUUGUGAACUAUAGGCACAUUUGUGAAGCCUGGGUACCUUCCAAAAUAGCUGUGCGUAAUACCACACCUGUUGUUUAUCACAUUGUUGCCCUUUUUAGUACAGACUGGCUUGAUUGACAAUUCAUUUAUUCAGUAGGGGAGAGUACAAGCUUUCUAACGACGUAUAACAUGUCUAAUUUUGCUUUUGGAAUAGCGUUUUAUAGGUCAGCGUAACCGAAAAUGUUCUCAUCAUCGCAUUCACUUAUGCAUUCACUCAUACAUUCACUCUGUGGUAGUAGUAAAAGACGCUGCACCUGACGAAACGUUGUCAAAGUGUUUUCGUAAUUUCUUGGAAAAUACUAUUAUUAUUGAGGACUUCUGGGCAUAGCUAAGCCAUAUGUUUGCUGAUAGACCUAGCUGACAUCGUUUUCUGGAGUAAGACAGAACCAGAACCUGCUGCUGAUGGCGGACCUGAUGAAGCCACUGUGUGCACUGAAGGAACCGCACCAGCUGUCAGUCUCACCCGGUCCUGGCUUCGACAUCCCAUCCUGAACUCCAUCAUAUCGCCGGGAAGAUAAUCCUCCAGUCUAAAAUGAGCACUACACACGACCACGUUUUUUGUAACAAAUGCAGCAGUGAAGUCCCGUCUCUUCACCUGCACAAAACACACCCAGGCACGAAAGCUAGCACCGUUCCUUUUCCUGUUAGGAAAAAUGUGUGCUCGAUGUCCUGACAGGCUGGAGUAUGUGCAACCUGCACAAACACCAUAAUUGACCAGAAUGAUACACGGUGAAAUGCAAUAUAAAACUGCUUUAAAAAGACCAACUCACUAUAUCAUGACCGCUCAGACUCACUACCACCUACUACUGCACAUUGGGCUAAGGCAGGCAGACUCCCUUUUGUUACGUAAUAUGACGCAAUGUUGAAAAAAGGGCGUUUUUAGGAGCUUUGCUGAAAACUGCCACUACUUCCUCUGAAUUUGUGCCCUUAUGUCUUGUAAAAAUGAUUAAAUCCUGCAUUAACUUUUCAAAUGGUCAUUUUCAGACAAGGUUAAGUAUACAUUUCGUAAAAAAUUUUACCUGCAAGAUGCACUUUAAGGAAAUAAAGUAGAUACCCUAAUUGACUUAACACAGGAAAUGUAUGGCAACAUGAAAUGUGUGGAGUUGUGAAAAAUUGAGUUUGAAUGUCUUUAGCCAAGGUGUAUGUAAACAUUUUGCCUCAACUAUACAACUUCCCUCCCACGUCUGGUUUUUAUCUAAAUACAAAUACAGAUACAAAUAAAUUUGUUGGUUGAAGAAAUACAGAUACAAACAUGAAUAGUGGCAUCUCCCUCCACCCCUUCAUCUUUAGAUUAUACAUUGUAUAAUGUUGUAAUGGUUAUAAUGGUUAAACACACCAAGGUGGCCCUAUGGAGUUGACACACUACAUUACAUUUAUUUAGCAGACGCUUUUAUCCAAAGCGACGUACAAAAGUGCAUAUCAUGGUCAUUGGAACAACUACAAAUACAGGUUUGAUAAAACCUAGGUAGCUUAGCAUUAAGUGUCAAGCUUGCAUCAACGGAGCGGACACACCAGUUAGCUUUGCCUCAAGUGUGAAGCUGGCCCUAUGGAGUUGACAUACUUGGUAGCUUAGCAUCAAGUGUCUAGCUGACCAUAACCCUGUCUUCUCUGUUUCUCUUUCUCUUUCCAUGGGGCUUCCAUCCCCUACCUCACCCUGAGUCCAAAGACCACUCCAGCCUGUUUCCUCGGCCUGAAUCCAAAGGAUUGCUCCAGUCCUGUCCUUCGCUCAAUGGUCAUGGACUGCUUCAGCCGUGUUCCUCCCUUGCCUAUGCCUUGAUGCUGUCUGGAGCUCUAGAUCCAUCAUCCAGCUCCUCUAAACUGCACUAUUCUAACUAUACCAUUUGGUAUUGUACUAUUCCUGUUAGCCUUCACCUCAGCUGUAACUGACCCAUUCAACCCAUUUUAUUUGCUGUCUGCUACUUUACACCAGGCUGGCCAGUGGAGGAUGGGCUCCCCCUCUAUAGCCGGGUUCCUUGUUAAGUUCGGAUUUACAGUCACUUUAUUCUAUUUCCAAUACAGCUCUACCUGUUAAAUGCAUCUGCGCAUGUGCAUUAGCGCGUCUUUGUUGAACUGGAGUUGCAAUGACAAAGGUAUAAAUUAGUUCUUGUUUUGUGCUAACAAGUAAAGUGAGUAAAACUAUAAAGUUGUCAUUAUUAUGUUAACAUUCCUCUUAAGAUUUCUUCCCAUUGGUAAGUUUUUUCUUGCCACCGUUUGAGGGUUUUCUCCCGUCCCCACUGGGAGUUUUUUUUACCUUAUGUACCUGCCAUUUGGGGGUUCAGACCUGGUGUUUGGUCUGUUUGCUCUUUUUUCUCUGCCUCUUGCCUUGCUACUCUGUAAAGUGUCUUUGUGACAGUUCUCUGUAAAAAAGCACUAUACAAAUAAAAUUGAAUUGAACUGAA